This 402-nucleotide ribosomal RNA is filed under the name uncultured bacterium. RNAcentral's name for it is "bacterial SSU rRNA". It matches the Rfam family "Bacterial small subunit ribosomal RNA", at positions 355 to 774 of the family's 1533-position model. The record is from RNAcentral.
UAGGGAAUAUUGGUAAUGUGCGAAAGCGCGAACCAGCAACGCCGCGUGCACGAUGAAGGCCUUCGGGUCGUAAAGUGCUUUUAGAGAGGAUGAGGAAGGACAGUACUUUCUGAAUAAGCCUCGGCUAACUACGUGCCAGCAGCCGCGGUAAAACGUAGGAGGCUAGCGUUAUCCGGAUUUACUGGGCGUAAAGCGCAUGCAGGUGGUUUUGUAAGUUGGAUGUGAAAGCUCCUGGCUUAACUGGGAGAGGUCGUUCAAAACUACAAGACUUGAGAUUGGUUGAGGAAAAUGGAAUUCCGGGUGUAGUGGUGAAAUGCGUAGAUAUCCGGAGGAACACCAGUGGCGAAAGCGGUUUUCUGGACCAAUUCUGACACUCAGAUGCGAAAGCUAAGGUAGCAAACG